ACGCCGGUAGCUCAGCUGGUAGAGUAGUAGGACGGUACCCCACGGUCUCGGGUUCAAGCCCCAACCGACGCU
This is a non-coding RNA of Phthorimaea operculella (potato tuberworm), 72 nucleotides long. The record is from the annotation of a GenBank genome assembly. NCBI's taxonomy places the organism in Eukaryota, Metazoa, Arthropoda, Insecta, Lepidoptera, Gelechiidae.